GAUGAAGGCCUUCGGGUUGUAAACCUCUUUCAGCAGGGAAGAAGCGCAAGUGACGGUACCUGCAGAAGAAGCGCCGGCUAACUACGUGCCAGCAGCCGCGGUAAUACGUAGGGCGCAAGCGUUGUCCGGAAUUAUUGGGCGUAAAGAGCUCGUAGGCGGUUUGUCGCGUCUGCUGUGAAAACUCGAGGCUCAACUUCGGGCUUGCAGUGGGUACGGGCAGACUAGAGUGCGGUAGGGGAGACUGGAAUUCCUGGUGUAGCGGUGGAAUGCGCAGAUAUCAGGAGGAACACCGAUGGCGAAGGCAGGUCUCUGGGCCGCAACUGACGCUGAGGAGCGAAAGCAUGGGGAGCGAACAGGAUUAGAUACCCUGGUAGUCCAUGCCGUAAACGUUGGGCACUAGGUGUGGGGCUCAUUCCACGAGUUCCGUGCCGCAGCAAACGCAUUAAGUGCCCCGCCUGGGGAGUACGGCCGCAAGGCUAAAACUCAAAGAAAUUGACGGGGGCCCGCACAAGCGGCGGAGCAUGCGGAUUAAUUCGAUGCAACGCGAAGAACCUUACCAAGGCUUGACAUACACCGGAAACUUCCAGAGAUGGUUGCCCCGCAAGGUCGGUGUACAGGUGGUGCAUGGUUGUCGUCAGCUCGUGUCGUGAGAUGUUGGGUUAAGUCCCGCAACGAGCGCAACCCUCGUCCUAUGUUGCCAGCGGGUCAUGCCGGGGACUCAUAGGAGACUGCCGGGGUCAACUCGGAGGAAGGUGGGGAUGACGUCAAAUCAUCAUGCCCCUUAUGUCUUGGGCUUCACGCAUGCUACAAUGGCCGGUACAAAGGGCUGCGAUACCGCGAGGUGGAGCGAAUCCCAAAAAGCCGGUCUCAGUUCGGAUUGGGGUCUGCAACUCGACCCCAUGAAGUCGGAGUCGCUAGUAAUCGCAGAUCAGCAACGCUGCGGUGAAUACGUUCCCGGGCCUUGUACACACCGCCCGUCAAGUCACGAAAGUCGG
RNAcentral lists this ribosomal RNA (995 nucleotides) under Cellulomonas hominis. RNAcentral describes it as "bacterial SSU rRNA". It matches the Rfam family "Bacterial small subunit ribosomal RNA", at positions 407 to 1414 of the family's 1533-position model. The record is from RNAcentral. Lineage: Bacteria; Bacillati; Actinomycetota; Actinomycetes; Micrococcales; Cellulomonadaceae.